AAUGAACGUUGGUGGCGUGGAUUAGGCAUGCAAGUCGAGCGACGGGGCCCUUCGGGGUCUACGGAGCGGCAAACGGGGUAGUAAGGCAUCGGAACGUACCCUUGGGUCUGGGAUAGCCACGGGAAACUGUGGGUAAUACCGGAUGAUCUCUAGCGAGCAAAGAUUUAUCGCCCAAGGAGCGGCCGAUGUGGUAUUAGGUAGUUGGCGGGGUAAUGGCCCACCAAGCCUGAGAUGCCUAGGGGGUGUGAGAGCACGACCCCCACCACUGGGACUGAGACACUGCCCAGACACCUACGGGUGGCUGCAGUCGAGAAUCUUCGUCAAUGGGCGAAAGCCUGAACGAGCGACGCCACGUGCGGGAUGAAGGCCCUUGGGUUGUAAACCGCUGUCAGGGGGGAUGAAAGCGUAAGCUUGACAGAGCCCCAGAGGAAGCGCGGGCUAAGUACGUGCCAGCAGCCGCAGUAACAC
This 468-nucleotide ribosomal RNA is filed under the name uncultured bacterium. Its description in RNAcentral is "bacterial SSU rRNA". It matches the Rfam family "Bacterial small subunit ribosomal RNA", at positions 29 to 526 of the family's 1533-position model. The record is from RNAcentral.